CGCGUGUGAAGAUGAGCGACUCUUCAGGGAGCGUAUACAGGUGCUGCAUGGCUGUCGUCAGUUCGUGCCGUGAGGUGUUAGGUUAAGUCCUGUAACGAGCGCAACCCUCGUCGCUAGUUACAUGUGUCUAGCGAGACUGCCCGUGAUAAGCGGGAGGAAGGUGGGGAUGACGUCAAGUCAGCAUGGCCUUUAUGUCCUGGGCUACACGCACGCUACAAUGGCCGGUACAAUGGGUAGCCAAGCCGCGAGGCGGAGCCAAUCCUCCAAAGCCGGUCUCAGUUUGGAUUGUAGGCUGCAACUUGCCUGCAAGAAGUCGGAGAUGCUAGUGAACA
RNAcentral lists this ribosomal RNA (332 nucleotides) under uncultured bacterium. RNAcentral describes it as "bacterial SSU rRNA". It matches the Rfam family "Bacterial small subunit ribosomal RNA", at positions 996 to 1344 of the family's 1533-position model. The record is from RNAcentral.